Molecule: long non-coding RNA, 247 nt
Filed under: Panax ginseng (ginseng)
Lineage: Eukaryota; Viridiplantae; Streptophyta; Magnoliopsida; Apiales; Araliaceae
Description: long non-coding RNA (PGIN_LNC007155)
Source: RNAcentral
UAAUGUUGUUUCCCAAGAAGAAUUUGACGGAUUGAGUAAACAAAUUACAGACUUGGCUGUUCUACUGAAAGAAUUACACCAGUCCACUCAGGGUACGAAGAUACCUACACAUACAGAAUCAUCUACACAAGGAGGAGUUCAAGGUCUGAAAAAAACAAUUCCAGAACCUCAGUUGGAUACGACCAACAAAGACCCUGAAAACACCCAUCUCAGAGGAGAUCCAGACACCGGUGAUAUUAGGAAAAAG